AUCCAGCCGAGCCCAAAAUAGGACGAAACGCGCGUCCUGGAU
Schistosoma curassoni is the source of this 42-nucleotide non-coding RNA. NCBI's taxonomy places the organism in Eukaryota, Metazoa, Platyhelminthes, Trematoda, Strigeidida, Schistosomatidae. The record is from Rfam.